Molecule: non-coding RNA, 89 nt
Filed under: Sodalis ligni
Lineage: Bacteria; Pseudomonadati; Pseudomonadota; Gammaproteobacteria; Enterobacterales; Bruguierivoracaceae
Source: RNAcentral
AUCAAUGGUGGCUCAGGUCGGGCAGCUUUAGAGCUGGCCGAGAAACAGUAAGCCCCGGUUGUGAGAACCCGAUUUGGGCCACCGCCAUU